Molecule: transfer RNA, 73 nt
Filed under: Pteropus alecto (black flying fox)
Lineage: Eukaryota; Metazoa; Chordata; Mammalia; Chiroptera; Pteropodidae
Rfam family: tRNA
About the family: Transfer RNA (tRNA) molecules are approximately 80 nucleotides in length. Their secondary structure includes four short double-helical elements and three loops (D, anti-codon, and T loops).
Source: Rfam by way of RNAcentral
GGUUCCAUAGUGUAGUGGUUAGUACGUCUGCUUGACAUGCAGGAGGUCCUGAGUUUGUGCCCCAGUGGAGCCA